UAAAAAUAUAAAACUAAAAAUGUAAAACUCAAAAGCCUAGUUUCUUUUUGUCCAAAAAAAAACCUCGACUCAUAAUUUUUUUUUUCUAGUCUCUUCCCUCGUCGUCUCUCUUCUCACCGCUCUACCUGAGACACAAGACAUCGAGACAGAAGAGAGACGAAGAGAAGAGAGAGAGGAGACAAAGUCCGGACAUGAGAAAGGAAGAAGAAGAGGCGACGGCCGGAGUGGUGUCGACGACGACGGAGAGAAGACAGAGAUCUCGGCUUGGUCGGCAAAGGCGAUAGCUUGGGUCGGAUACUCUGAGAUUGAGGCUUCUUCUGUAGAUUAGACUCUAAAGAUCCCGAACUUCUCUUUCUGAUGAAUCUCCUCCUCAGUAAGCUAUGAAGACCUAAGGGGAGUAAAGAGAAAGAAGGAGAGAUGGGAAACGAGAUGAAAUCCCCGCAGGAACAGAGCUCUUAAACCGUUGAGCAGAUUGCCUUUUCCAGGUGUGGCCACUGCAAGUCUCUUGCUCCUGCAAACAAACGGUUUCAACAAGUAAAAGAAGAAGAGAAAAGCAUAUUGGUUGGUAAUGUUUUCAUGAGCUGUGGCUUGCAGAGGCUGUGGAAGGAAAGACUCUUGGGUAGCUGAGUCCAUUUGCAGGGACUACACAUCUUGAUGUGGCCGUGGAACGGGUUAGUGAAUACAAUUGAUCUUCUUCUUCUUUUUUUCUCAUAGAGUUUUGUAGUUGAAAAUGUCUAUUCUCUUGUCAUACAUAUUGUUCAAUAGAUUAUUUUUCAAAUGCAGGUGAUGUAUUUUCAAUAUAUAUUAGCUGCCUAGUCAAUGUUUAUAAUAUAUAUAUUCAUUAUAUAACAGUUCUUUACAGUGAGAGAUUCUGCAAUUGAGGUUGUAUGUGCGGAGAACAGUGAGAUUGUUUUUCAAAUGCAGGUGAUCACUUGAUUUCAGUGGUUAUGCAAUGCGGACAAGUCACCACAUGAACCUUGUUUGGCUUGUGAAGUGAGUCAAAGAAGAUCAUCGAUUGACUAGCUUUAAAAAUUCAAGUUGUUGUCUAUGUAAUGUCUAUGUUUUAGCCCCUGUUCGGGAACGCGCUAGUCGGGCGGUCGGAUUGGGCCUAGCGCCUAAAGAGAAAAUCGAAGAUUAAUCGGAAAUUAUACAGGGCGGAAUUUUUAGAUGGUUUUUAAAAUUACUUGUACCUAUAUUUGUUACGCUCUGUACAGUGUUUGUUACGCUUUGGUACAAGUUGUACAGAGCGUAACAAACACUGUAUCUUCAUCUUCUUCGAGUGUUCUCUAAUUUGAGAGAGAGCUCGACCUUCGUUGAUAGUGGAUUGCUGGCUCUGUCCAGCCCCGGUGAUAUAUAGCGGCUUCUCCAUUUCGGAGGAGUGCGGUGAACACCAGGUGAACAUA
Brassica napus (rape) is the source of this 1403-nucleotide long non-coding RNA. RefSeq lists it as uncharacterized. The record is from RefSeq and is a predicted model, not a curated record. The transcript is spliced from 4 exons. NCBI's taxonomy places the organism in Eukaryota, Viridiplantae, Streptophyta, Magnoliopsida, Brassicales, Brassicaceae.